This 496-nucleotide ribosomal RNA is filed under the name uncultured manure pit bacterium P69. Its description in RNAcentral is "bacterial SSU rRNA". It matches the Rfam family "Bacterial small subunit ribosomal RNA", at positions 7 to 504 of the family's 1533-position model. The record is from RNAcentral.
GAGAGUUUGAUCCUGGCUCAGGAUGAACGCUGGCGGCGUGCCUAACACAUGCAAGUCGAGCGAGAAACUCAAGAAUGAAACUUCGGUAGAUUUCAUGAGCGGAAAGCGGCGGACGGGUGAGUAACGCGUAGGCAACCUGCCUUUCACAGAGGGAUAGCAUCUGGAAACGGAUAUUAAGACCUCAUAAUGCAUCCAUGCAGCAUUACAAGGAUGCCAAAGAUUUAUCGGUGAAAGAUGGGCCUGCGUCUGAUUAGUUAGUUGGUGGGGUAACGGCUCACCAAGACAAUGAUCAGUAUCCGGACUGAGAGGUCGAACGGACACAUUGGAACUGAGACACGGUCCAAACUCCUACGGGAGGCAGCAGUGGGGAAUAUUGCACAAUGGGGGAAACCCUGAUGCAGCAACGCCGCGUGAGCGAUGAAGGCCCUUGGGUCGUAAAGCUCUGUCCUUGGGGAAGAAAAAUGACGGUACCCAUGGAGAAGCCCCGGCUAACUAC